Molecule: ribosomal RNA, 2930 nt
Filed under: Escherichia coli
Lineage: Bacteria; Pseudomonadati; Pseudomonadota; Gammaproteobacteria; Enterobacterales; Enterobacteriaceae
Description: bacterial LSU rRNA
Rfam family: Bacterial large subunit ribosomal RNA
Source: RNAcentral
GGGUUGUGAGGUUAAGCGACUAAGCGUACACGGUGGAUGCCCUGGCAGUCAGAGGCGAUGAAGGACGUGCUAAUCUGCGAUAAGCGUCGGUAAGGUGAUAUGAACCGUUAUAACCGGCGAUUUCCGAAUGGGGAAACCCAGUGUGAUUCGUCACACUAUCAUUAACUGAAUCCAUAGGUUAAUGAGGCGAACCGGGGGAACUGAAACAUCUAAGUACCCCGAGGAAAAGAAAUCAACCGAGAUUCCCCCAGUAGCGGCGAGCGAACGGGGAGGAGCCCAGAGCCUGAAUCAGUGUGUGUGUUAGUGGAAGCGUCUGGAAAGGCGCGCGAUACAGGGUGACAGCCCCGUACACAAAAAUGCACAUAUUGUGAGCUCGAUGAGUAGGGCGGGACACGUGGUAUCCUGUCUGAAUAUGGGGGGACCAUCCUCCAAGGCUAAAUACUCCUGACUGACCGAUAGUGAACCAGUACCGUGAGGGAAAGGCGAAAAGAACCCCGGCGAGGGGAGUGAAAAAGAACCUGAAACCGUGUACGUACAAGCAGUGGGAGCACGCUUAGGCGUGUGACUGCGUACCUUUUGUAUAAUGGGUCAGCGACUUAUAUUCUGUAGCAAGGUUAACCGAAUAGGGGAGCCGAAGGGAAACCGAGUCUUAACUGGGCGUUAAGUUGCAGGGUAUAGACCCGAAACCCGGUGAUCUAGCCAUGGGCAGGUUGAAGGUUGGGUAACACUAACUGGAGGACCGAACCGACUAAUGUUGAAAAAUUAGCGGAUGACUUGUGGCUGGGGGUGAAAGGCCAAUCAAACCGGGAGAUAGCUGGUUCUCCCCGAAAGCUAUUUAGGUAGCGCCUCGUGAAUUCAUCUCCGGGGGUAGAGCACUGUUUCGGCAAGGGGGUCAUCCCGACUUACCAACCCGAUGCAAACUGCGAAUACCGGAGAAUGUUAUCACGGGAGACACACGGCGGGUGCUAACGUCCGUCGUGAAGAGGGAAACAACCCAGACCGCCAGCUAAGGUCCCAAAGUCAUGGUUAAGUGGGAAACGAUGUGGGAAGGCCCAGACAGCCAGGAUGUUGGCUUAGAAGCAGCCAUCAUUUAAAGAAAGCGUAAUAGCUCACUGGUCGAGUCGGCCUGCGCGGAAGAUGUAACGGGGCUAAACCAUGCACCGAAGCUGCGGCAGCGACGCUUAUGCGUUGUUGGGUAGGGGAGCGUUCUGUAAGCCUGUGAAGGUGUACUGUGAGGUAUGCUGGAGGUAUCAGAAGUGCGAAUGCUGACAUAAGUAACGAUAAAGCGGGUGAAAAGCCCGCUCGCCGGAAGACCAAGGGUUCCUGUCCAACGUUAAUCGGGGCAGGGUGAGUCGACCCCUAAGGCGAGGCCGAAAGGCGUAGUCGAUGGGAAACAGGUUAAUAUUCCUGUACUUGGUGUUACUGCGAAGGGGGGACGGAGAAGGCUAUGUUGGCCGGGCGACGGUUGUCCCGGUUUAAGCGUGUAGGCUGGUUUUCCAGGCAAAUCCGGAAAAUCAAGGCUGAGGCGUGAUGACGAGGCACUACGGUGCUGAAGCAACAAAUGCCCUGCUUCCAGGAAAAGCCUCUAAGCAUCAGGUAACAUCAAAUCGUACCCCAAACCGACACAGGUGGUCAGGUAGAGAAUACCAAGGCGCUUGAGAGAACUCGGGUGAAGGAACUAGGCAAAAUGGUGCCGUAACUUCGGGAGAAGGCACGCUGAUAUGUAGGUGAAGUCCCUUGCGGAUGGAGCUGAAAUCAGUCGAAGAUACCAGCUGGCUGCAACUGUUUAUUAAAAACACAGCACUGUGCAAACACGAAAGUGGACGUAUACGGUGUGACGCCUGCCCGGUGCCGGAAGGUUAAUUGAUGGGGUUAGCGCAAGCGAAGCUCUUGAUCGAAGCCCCGGUAAACGGCGGCCGUAACUAUAACGGUCCUAAGGUAGCGAAAUUCCUUGUCGGGUAAGUUCCGACCUGCACGAAUGGCGUAAUGAUGGCCAGGCUGUCUCCACCCGAGACUCAGUGAAAUUGAACUCGCUGUGAAGAUGCAGUGUACCCGCGGCAAGACGGAAAGACCCCGUGAACCUUUACUAUAGCUUGACACUGAACAUUGAGCCUUGAUGUGUAGGAUAGGUGGGAGGCUUUGAAGUGUGGACGCCAGUCUGCAUGGAGCCGACCUUGAAAUACCACCCUUUAAUGUUUGAUGUUCUAACGUUGACCCGUGAUCCGGGUUGCGGACAGUGUCUGGUGGGUAGUUUGACUGGGGCGGUCUCCUCCUAAAGAGUAACGGAGGAGCACGAAGGUUGGCUAAUCCUGGUCGGACAUCAGGAGGUUAGUGCAAUGGCAUAAGCCAGCUUGACUGCGAGCGUGACGGCGCGAGCAGGUGCGAAAGCAGGUCAUAGUGAUCCGGUGGUUCUGAAUGGAAGGGCCAUCGCUCAACGGAUAAAAGGUACUCCGGGGAUAACAGGCUGAUACCGCCCAAGAGUUCAUAUCGACGGCGGUGUUUGGCACCUCGAUGUCGGCUCAUCACAUCCUGGGGCUGAAGUAGGUCCCAAGGGUAUGGCUGUUCGCCAUUUAAAGUGGUACGCGAGCUGGGUUUAGAACGUCGUGAGACAGUUCGGUCCCUAUCUGCCGUGGGCGCUGGAGAACUGAGGGGGGCUGCUCCUAGUACGAGAGGACCGGAGUGGACGCAUCACUGGUGUUCGGGUUGUCAUGCCAAUGGCACUGCCCGGUAGCUAAAUGCGGAAGAGAUAAGUGCUGAAAGCAUCUAAGCACGAAACUUGCCCCGAGAUGAGUUCUCCCUGACUCCUUGAGAGUCCUGAAGGAACGUUGAAGACGACGACGUUGAUAGGCCGGGUGUGUAAGCGCAGCGAUGCGUUGAGCUAACCGGUACUAAUGAACCGUGAGGCUUAACCUUACAACGCCGAAGCUGUU